CCCCAUUGACCCCAUUGUCCCCACUCACCCCAUUGAUCCCAAUGUCCCCAUAUUGAUUCCAAUGUCCCCCCCGUCCCCAUUGUCCCCAUUGUCCCCAUUGUCCCCAUUGUCCCCACUGUCCCCAUUGACCCCAUUGUCCCCAUUCAUUAACCCCAAUAACCCCAUUGUCUCCACUGUCCCCAUUGUCCUCAUUGUCCCCACUCAUCCCAGUGUCCCCAUUGUCCCCACUGACCCCAAUGUCCCCAUUCAUUAAUCCCAUUAACCCCACUGUCCCCAUUGUCCCCACUGUCCCCAUUGACCCCAAUGUCCCCAUUGUCCCCACUCACCCCAAUGUCCCCAUUGACCCCUUUGACCCCAUUCAUUAACCCCAUUGCCCCCAUUGUCCUCACUGUCCCCAUUGUCCCUAUUGACCCCAUUGACCCCAUUGACCCCACUCACCCCAUUGAUCCCCAUGUCCCCAUAUUGACCCCAAUGUCCCCAUAUUGAUCCCAAUGUCCCCCCCAUUGCCCCCAUUGUCCUCAUUGUCCCCACUCACCCCAUUGCCCCCAUUGUCCCCACUGUCCCCAUUGUCCCCACUGACCCCAUUGACCCCACUGACCCCAGUGUCCCCAUUGACCCCAAUGUCCCCAUUCAUUAACCCCAUUAACCCCACUGUCCCCAUUGACCCCACUGUCCCCAUUGACCCCAAUGUCCCCAUUGACCCCAUUGACCCCAUUCAUUGACCCCAUUGUCCCCACUGUCCCCAUUGUCCCCAUUGCCCCCAUUGCCCCCAUUGUCCCCACUGACCCCAUUGUCCCCACGGUCCCCGCUCACUGUCCCCCCAUUGUCCCCUCCCCGUCCCCAGGUGUCGGUGCUGCUGCUGCUCUGCCCCACGGCGCCGCCCGCCGACCUCAUGGAGCCGCUCCGCUUCCUGCGCAGCCGCCGGCCCCACAGCGUCACCCUCGUCAUCGUCACCGCCCGCUCCAUGCCCAUGCCCUGGGAGCCGCGCAGCGACACGUUCCUCCUGGCCGGCUUCAGCGAAUCGGUGCUCAGGUUGUUGGCCGAAGGGGACGCCGCCGCCAUGUUGGCUCGGGUGGAGGCUGGCCCCGCCCACUACGGCCUUGCCCCGCCCACUGCCCCGCCCCCCGCGCGGGAAACGGCGUUGGCUCCUCCCCUUCCGCUGCCGGUGAUCAGGUGAGGCGCUGGGAGGACUGGGAGCAAUGGGGUCCGUGGGGAGGACCCGCUGGGACCCCCCCCAUUGGGAUCUGCCAGGACCCACUGGGAACUGCCAGGACCUAUUGGGAUCUACAGGGACCCAUUAGGACUCCCCCAUUGGGAUCCCUCCCCACUGUGAUCUGCCAGGACCCAUUGGGAUACCCCCCCAUUGGGGUCUACCAGGACCCAUUGGGAUCUGCCAGGACCCACUGGUAUCUACCAGGACCCAUUGGGAUCCCUCCCCACUGCGAUCUGCCAGGACCCAUUGGGAUACCCCCCCAUUGGGGUCUACCAGGACCCAUUGGGAUCUGCCAGGACCCAUUGGGAUCUACCAGGACCCAUUGUGAUCUACCGGGACCCAUUAGGACUCCCCCAUUGGGAUCCCUCCCCACUGUGAUCUGCCAGGACCCACUGGUAUCUACCAGGACCCAUUGGGAUCUACCGGGACCCAUUGGGAUCCCCCCCCAUUGGGAUCUAUUGAGACCCACUGGGAACUGCCAGGACCCAUUGGGAUCUACUGGCACCCAUUGGGAUCUCCCCCAUUGGGAUCUGCCAGGACCCACUGGGAACUGCCAGGACCUAUUGGGAUCUACAGGGACCCAUUGUGACCCGCCCAUUGGGAUCUGCCAGGACCCAUUGGGGUCCCCCCCCG
Numida meleagris (helmeted guineafowl) is the source of this 1846-nucleotide long non-coding RNA. NCBI's taxonomy places the organism in Eukaryota, Metazoa, Chordata, Aves, Galliformes, Numididae. The record is from Ensembl.